Molecule: long non-coding RNA, 4606 nt
Filed under: Gossypium raimondii (Peruvian cotton)
Lineage: Eukaryota; Viridiplantae; Streptophyta; Magnoliopsida; Malvales; Malvaceae
Description: long non-coding RNA (GRAI_LNC003319)
Source: RNAcentral
UUUUUUUUUUUUUUAUGUUUUUGUUGCAGAUACAUUAACUGACAAGUUCUGCUAUAUGCAAUGUAUCUUUCCAUAGAACCUGUCUUAUUAUUCUCUUUUUUUUAUUAUUUUCUCUCACUUUCUUUUCUAACCAAACAACCGGUUAACCCCUUUUGGCCUAUGUUUGCCCAAUUUUUAAGAUAAAACUUUGUAUGUGGUGGUGGAUUUGAAAUUGUUUGGUUUUCUUUUUCUUUUAUAUAUAUAUUUAAUUUCUAAUUAAAUAUAUAUAUAUAUAUAAACCACCAGAACUUAAUAUAAUCUUAACUUUUAAAGGAAGAAAUUUAAAUAAUUUAAAUUUAUAAUUAUCUUACACAUUGGAGUGACUUAAACACAGAAUGACUCGAACCAAAUUGAUUCGAAAAUCUUAAAAUUUUAUUUGAGUUUUUAAAAAUAUCCUCUUAUUAAUAUUUUAUAAAAAUAUAUAAAAAUAAAAAUACUUUUAUAUUAAUAAUUAUUCUAAAAACAUAUUUAAUUAAUAGUUUUUUAAAAAAAAAUUAACUGAGUUAACCUCCGAUUUAUUUGUGACAUUAAUUUUCAAUAAAUAAUAUUGAUUCAGAAUAUAAAAAUUAAGUAAAGAAUAUUUGUUUUAAAAAAAUUGGAUAACAUAAACCUCUACUUUUUUGAUAAUUACUUUAUUUAACUUUAGAAUAAAGAAAUGGCUAAUAUUGCAUUCAAGUAACAUUGAACUUAAUUAUGGGCGGUGCAUAAGUAAUUAUUUUAGGGACUUUGCAUGCAAGAUUCUUGAAGUAUCUUGCAAUUAUGAUUAAUUAUUUUUUUUCUCAAGUGGAGAAUAUCAUUUUCAAUUACAUCAUUUCUCUUUAAUUAUGAGUUUGAUUAAUGGAAAUUCUUAUUUAAGCAAAGAAUUGUACUAGGUAAAAUAAAACGAAACUCAUGUAUGGCCUGAGUUUGAGUCACGCUAAUCAUAUUUAUUAUUCAAGUUUUAUCUUAUUCUUGUGUUUCAACAAAAAAAAAUGAAAUUUGAAUUGGUAUUUUUAUUUCGAUUAAUUUAUACAUUUCUUUUUAAUAAGUAGUUUGAAUUUUAAUAUAUUUAUUUAGUUAAUUGGAAGAACUGAUUGAAUCGAUAAAAAAAUUUUAAAAAUUAAAAAUUGAAUUUUAGCAGUUACAAUCCUUUCUCAGUGCUGAUAAAAUGCAUGGGGUUGAAGAUUUGAUGAUGAAAAUAUCAUGGAGUCCUUUUUAUUAGGAGUUAUAUUAUAUUUUGUCUCUUCUAUUAGUCCUUGUAUAUUAGAUCAAUAAAAAUUGGUUCUUUUGUUAAAAUUUCUAUUCAUUUUUACAAUUAAAAAUUGGUCAUUGUAUGUCAAAAUGAGGUACACACAUGUAACUGUAUGACUAUUUUGUUAAUCACGUCAGUUUUUAACAAUAAAAAUAGAUGAAAUUUUAAUAGAAAUAAUCAGUUUACUCUUUAAUCUAACGUAUAAUGAAUAAUUUAACUCCUAACGCAUGGACCUCUAUAAUAUUUUUACCAAGAUAUUACUGAUAAAAAUAGAUAAAAAUUAACAUAUAUAUAUACAAAUUAUUUUUUAUUUUUUUAAUAUGUCUUAAAAAAUUAUAAUUAAUACACGUCUAAAUAACUAGAUCUAAAAUUAAAUCAUUACAAUAAUUUAAAAUAGGAAAACAAUGGGUUAAUUAGGGGAAAAAAAAGAAAAAGAAAAAAGAUGGGAAUAUGAAUUAGAGUUUGAUGGUUUAAAGGAACAAGUUGAACAAAGUGUGUGGUUUUUAUCAUGUUUGAUUAACUGUAUUUAGCCUUUAAAUUCAGACAAGUCUCCAAGGUUUCCCAACUAAGCCAACUUUGGAAUUUGGAAAUCCAGCUGCCUUUUUUACUUUAUUAUCAUAUUUAUGUCACAUAAUUAGCCAACUUGAUCUUAAAAUAAUAAUAUUAUUAUUAUUAAGAAAAACUAAUCAUACUUAAUCAAUGAAAUUAAAAUCAGGGUAAUUAUAUAGAAGUGAGCUGGACUCGGUUGAUUUUUUUUUUUUUUGAUUUUUCAAAUUGUUUGUGAUAAUUCGAUUUCAUUCUUUGAUUUUUUUUUAUAAAAUUAAUUUUAGUUUAUUGUUUUUGGAUAUUAUUUAGGAAAAUUUUAAAAACUUUUUAUAAAUAUUUUUUAGAAAACAACCCAUAGCACUUAUAUGGUUUUUUUUCUGUGUAGAGUUUUAAAGUUUUAGUUUGAAUUAAGCUUGUUUAAAUCAGAUCAGAUUGACCAGUCAAAUUUAUUGGAUCGAGAAUCAACUAGGGUACUGGUCUAGAAAAGGGAAUUGUUCUAGUUGAAUUGAAUUUUUAAUAUUUUUAUGAUUUUUUUAAUGAUUUAUUUAAUCGAACCAAUCGAAACGAUUACACCAAUUGGACCUACGAACCAUUGACCUAACUGGUUCUACCGUUGAUCCGAUUUUGAAAACCUUGGUUUGGAGGAUUUAUUUAGCUUUAGUUUGAGUUUAUAUUUGAAGAGGUUAUUAGUAUUAUUUAAACACAAUUAAUACAUCUAAAUAACUACAAUCAUAACCAAUUAUUAUAACGGAAUAUAUUUAGACUUAAACCAAGACCUACACAUAACAAAACUUAAUCCAAAGUAAAUACGAACCUUAAUCUUACUUGUAAAUAUAAAAAUAAAAUAAACAAAAAUUAAUUUCAAUAAUUUUAGUAUAAGGCCAAUUAAAGGUGAAAUGCAAAUUUUAAAAUGGGAAAUUUAAUUAAUUUUAGAAAAGUCCAUGCCUCUUAAAUUAGAUGGUGCAGUCUAUAUGGGAAUUGAAGAAUAUUGUCAAACAAUUCUCUCUCAUCAUUGUUCAACUUGAAUUGCCAUUUUCUAAGAGAUAUUUUAAAAUGGAAAAGAAAAUCUUCCAAGGAGAAUAAGUUACUCAUGAUUUACAUUAUUGAAAAGACCCCAAGAGAGUUGUGAACCAUUACCUUUUUAUGAACCAAUAAUUUUUUGACACACAUAAAUUUUAGAUUUACUGCCUUUCUAAUCACUUGCAAAAAGAUCUAUUUAGUAUUCUUUUUACUUAAUGUUAUAGUAUCGUUAUAGUAACUAAUUUUAUUGUCAUUGUUGUUUUUACACUUAGCACACAUAAACGUGCACCAUUCCGUUUUAUAUGAUUAUCAAUCAAAUAAAAAGUUAUUUUAUGUAUCAAUUCUUACAUCUCCUACUACUGGUGGAGUGACCGCGAGUUUUGGUAUGUUGGGGGAUAUCAUUAUUGUUAAACCCAAUGCCUAUAUUGCAUUUGCGGGUAAAAGAGUAAUUGAGCAAACAUUGAACAAAACAAUACCGGAAGGUUCUCAGGCGGCUGAAUAUUUAUUCCAUAAGGGUUUAUUUGAUCAAAUCGUACCACGUAAUCCUUUAAAAGGUGUUCUGAGUGAGUUAGUUCAGCUCCACGGUUUUUUUCCUUUGAAUCAAAAUUCAAUCAAGUAGAGUCUUAAGUGAAAUUUUUUUAUUUGUAGUGAAAAGGUAGUUAGUUAGUUUAUCAGAAUCAAAGUCAAAGCCCAUUACGCGGGCUUUGACUUUGUGACAAAAAAAGGAAUUGUCGAAAAACAAAUUAUGUGGAUAAUUAUUAUUAUCAUUAUCCGAUAUUACUAAUAAGUAAACCUCUAGCAACAAGAUAAAAAGCGAAUUUUUCCUUCUGUGAAAUGAAAAAUUUGGAGAGACAAAUAAGACGAAUUUUUAUCUUCCUCUAUUGCGUAUGUAUAUAUAAUUUAAAUAGCGAAAAAAAUAGAAUAGAANNNNNNNNNNNNNNNNNNNNNNNNNNNNNNNNNNNNNNNNNNNNNNNNNNNNNNNNNNNNNNNNNNNNNNNNNNNNNNNNNNNNNNNNNNNNNNNNNNNNAAAGGAGGGAAUAGUAUGUAUUUUUCGUUGGGGUUUUCCUGGAAAAAAUCGUCGCAUCUUUCUACGAUUCCUUAUGAAAGAUAUUCAGUCCAUCAGAAUAGAAGUUAAAGAGGGUAUUUAUGCUCGUCAUGUCCUUUAUAUGGAAAUCAGAGGCCAGAGGGCCGUUCCCUUGACUCGUACUGAUGAGAAUUUGACUCCGCGUGAAAUUGAACAAAAAGCUGCUGAAUUGGCCUAUUUUUUGCGUGUACCGAUUGAAGUCUUUUGAAAUGAAUUGCAGAAUAAAAGCUUUCUCGCCGGGAGGAAAAAGCUCAAUCCAAGAAUCCUCUUUUUUCUAUAGCAGAACUAAACUGAAGUUUCUUCAGAAUGCCCAUUCAAACCAAAGCGGACGUAUACGGAAGAGUCAUAACAUAAAAAAACAGUUUUUUUUGUCCACAAAAAUAGUUUUUUAUGCGUCUGUAAAUGUAAAACCGCUCAACUUAAUUCAGUAACAAAAUAAGCAAGAAAUCGAAAUACUGGAUUCAUCUCAUAUAUCAAAGUAUUUCGAAAUAAAGACUUUCGCUUUUUAUUUGCAAUAUUUGGAGUUGAUACGUGAGAUACAGAUAGAUCAUAUCUUGUAAAUUUUCUCUACUUUUCUUUUCUUAAUCGGCCCCUCCCCUUUUAUCCUUUCUUUUGUGCUCCUUAAGAACUAAAGAACUAAACAAGUGGAUUUCUUUCUUAUAACAUAAUGAUAAACGUAAUGAUAC